CCGAGGGGACCUCGGUGACCACGGCCACUCCGCCCAGAGCUGGACUGCCCCGGGCACUGACCCAGCCUCGGGCAGGGGUCGGGGGCUGCUGGCAUCCACUGCUCUUCUGGGAAGGUCUCGCUAAAGCACUAAGUUGUCCAGGCUGGGCUCAAACUUGCAAUCCUCCUGCCUCAGCUUCCCAGGUACCUGGGAUCACACAUGUGCACCACCGUACCCGCAUAUAAACUCUUCAUGGAGGAAGCCACCCAGAUGGGAAGGUGCACGGAUGCAAGGGGACAGCGCUGUCAUGGUCACCCCUGGACACAGCCCUGCAGCGGCCCCAGACCGGGGCAUCAGCAGCUCUUGGGUGCACUCACGGCUCAGGUGCAGCCAUGCGCGAGGCCUCGGCUCUGCCCUGGUACAGCUGCCGCGUGAGGAGGGCAUCUCCGUGUGACCACAACAGUUUUAAAAAUGCGGCUCUUUGUGGGAUCGCCACUCCUGCAGACUCCGGACUCGGAGGCGGAGGUGACUUACAUGGAAGUGACAGAGGUGUGGGGGGAAACUUGAGGAGGCGGAGUCAUCUUUCAAAGGGAAGGUGAUCUAAUACCCCAGUACCCGGAGCCGGGCACUCCCUGGAGCCUGGCUGGGACUUCCUGGUUCUGUUUAGACGGUCCACCACAUGCCCAGCGGGCAGCGGGAUGGCUCCCUUGGGCUCUGUCCUGCCCUGAACUUUGGGCACAGCUGGUACUCAGGAGGGGAGGGGUGACCACCGGCCAAGGGGUGUGUACACCCUGGGUCAGGGUCGGGGUCAGGGCGCCUCGCUGAGCCCCGACAACCACUUGGGGAGCAGCCCAGUCAGGUGCCCACUGCAGUUUGAAACCAGAAGGUGACGGGCAGCAUGGGCAGCGGGACGUCUGUGCCCCCUACCUGGGGCUCCAGGCAGCAUCGCAGGCCUGGCUUGCGGCCCAUCCGCACACAGCAGGGUCCUCGGUGAGCCCUCCCCGGCCUUCCCACCGGCUCAUCCUCGCCAGCCAGCAGUGUCCCCUUGGCCAGCACGCCCUGCAGCCGCAGCCAGGACUCGACCUCCCUCCCGAUGCUUUUCCGGCUCUUCCACUACUCAGCACCCCAGCACUGUGGGCUCCACACUGUCAGGAGGGUUCCAGAAACCGCUGAAGCCCUAAGUAACUGGUGCUGAAAGGAGGCAGUUUUUUCUCCUCUUUCACAGCAGGGUCUGGGGGAGGCUGGCCCUGCCGUGGCACGGCGUCUACAAACUCCCGGUGCUAGCUAUGGCUUGCCCUGAAGUGCCUCUGUUCUAGACACACACUUCAGUGUCCCCUACCUUCCGGCGGGGAGAGGAAAGGCCCACUGCAAGGGGGGGCAGGGCCAGCGGGGUGAGAUCUUGCUUUGUUUGCUUGUUGAUUUCUGCUUGACCUCACUGCUGCAGGGUAACGGCCUGGCAUCUGCUAGCUGCAAGGGAGGCUGGGAAAUGGGGCCACACCCCCCUCCACAGCAAGGCCCUGUGGCUGUGCUGGCCUGUGCAUCCCCAGGGCUCAUGCAGAGCCAGGAUUGGCGGUGAUGCCGCACUGAGUGGAAAGGUGACAGCCAGGCAGGGGCGGCAGUGGGACCUGUGUCUGCAAGUGGCGCUAAGGGCCCAGGGCUGGGGGAUGAGGAGGCCCGUGGUGGGGGCUACAUCAGCAGCGCAGAGCCUGACCUCUGGCUCCCGCAGUCGCAGGUGAGGCCGCCUGCUGCCUACACAACCUCUGUCCAGCCAGGCUGCACCCAGCUAUCAGCAGGGUCAUCUUCUAUGGCCCAGUUAGCAGUGGAGCCCCAGACUGCACGCAGACAGGAGCUGACUGCAGUGGAUAAGGUUGAGAAGAAAAGCAAGAAAGGGGCAGGCCACGGGGGGCAGUCACCUCAAACCUGCCAGCCGGGACGAGAGCAGGGCUGUGGAGCCACCCACGCAUGUCCCCACGUGGUGUCGCAGCUGGGGCUCCUUAGAUCCUACUCGGGGCCUCCACACGCGAAGGCCUGCCAUUCCUUUCCUCCUGGCGGCCCCCUGCUCUCCGCCCUCUGUCCCCUGAGGCCUCACUGUGUGUGUAUCCAACCUCCUUGGACAGAAAUGACAAUGAGGCCCAGAGGAGGCCAUGCGCUGCCCCAGGUCCCAAGAGUUCGGGACCUCCUCACUCGCAGGUCACUGGCUUCCGGGUUCCGUCCCUCUGCAGGGUCCACUGUGAGAGUCGCCCGCCCCUGGCCCUCGUUCCCGGGACAGGAACGUGGGUUCCGAUGUCAGGAGUGUACCCCGUUCCUACUGGGGGGCUCCGGGUGCCAUUCCAGCAGUCGCUUCACCCUACUGACAGCAUUGCUAGAAGGAAACUCCCUCUCCUUCCUGGGAUGGGAAGCUGAGGUUCCAGCAGGUGGAUGAGUGAUGUCCUGGGGGAGAUGCCUUCCUACCCACAGGCACCUCCUGCCCUCCGCCCUCCGAGCAGGCUGUCCCCACCCCAGUGCGACUGGGGCACUGGGUCCCAGGGGAACUGUCUUUGCCGGGGUUCUGCACCCAAGGUCUCUUCCCCGCGGCUACACAAACGGCUGGGACUCAGAACCAAGGGACCCCAAGGCAUCGAGACACGGCAGCGUGUUUGAAAUGCGAGUGGACCACAAGCCAUCCACCUUCCUGACAGAGCACCCCCACACGAUCAUUAAAAUACUCGAACCCCCACAUCCGACUCAGCCUCCGCCGUUAGGAGUGGGUCUGCCCCGGGCCGCCCUCGCUCCACGCUCUCAGAUACGGCCUCUCGCUAAUUAUCCCUCCGGUUGCCUGGCCUGGUAACUGUUGCACUUGGACAUAGACGGCACACUUUCCCCACAUCUGCUCCAGAUUUGCAUGUCGGAAAUUAGAGAACUUAGCUACGUGGUAUUAUACGACACUUCGGGCCGGGCCCGGAGGACGGGCUGAUCGGGUACUCUGCCCGAAUGAGACGACUUUCAAGCUCUUUCCAGGAAAUUGACUGGAACACGCAACCCGCCAUCCAGGAUCGAAUAUUAUACUCAUACAGCCGCUCUGCAGAGUUCCUGGGCACCCAGCAUCUGGGAGCGAAAUUUAUAAAUGGAGAAACUAAAUACCUGGGUGGACUGGGGCUCAUCAGAGCUAAGAAAUUAGAGUAUUACCGUGUACACUCCAAGCCGGGCCACUUAGAAAGGUAGGGCUAUUAAAAUAUGAUUAGCCGCGCUGUAUUUUGUCUCAGAAAUGUCAUAGACCAUUAAAGUUAAAAAGACUUCGAGGCAAGCCCCUGGCCCAGGCUCUGCCCUGCUCUGAGAAGGUUCUCUGCAAGCAUCGGCCUCCCCGGGAGGGGUCUGGGCUACCCCGCGCCGCUCUGCACAGGCCCGCAGAGGUGAGGAGGGCUUGCCGUGAAAUCUAACACAGUGCCGAGAAAACCUGGGUGAUUGCCGUGUGUAACAGGAGAAAGAAAAUCAAGCAGCAGAAUUACUGCCCGCCGCUGCUGGCCAGCCUGGUUUUAUAAAUAAAGUUUUAUUGCUCCCAGGGCCAGCCAGGCAGUACAAGGUAAGGUUCAUAUCCUGUCCUUAAAGUUUUGCUGCUGUCAAUUUUUAAAAAUUUUGACUUGUUAAUAAAAGGCUGAUUAGGAUACUGCCUUGAUUGCUGAGA
Long non-coding RNA from Chinchilla lanigera (long-tailed chinchilla), 3640 nucleotides. RefSeq lists it as uncharacterized. The transcript is spliced from 2 exons. The record is from RefSeq and is a predicted model, not a curated record. NCBI's taxonomy places the organism in Eukaryota, Metazoa, Chordata, Mammalia, Rodentia, Chinchillidae.